Molecule: long non-coding RNA, 1618 nt
Filed under: Sorghum bicolor (sorghum)
Lineage: Eukaryota; Viridiplantae; Streptophyta; Magnoliopsida; Poales; Poaceae
Description: long non-coding RNA (SBIC_LNC005871)
Source: RNAcentral
AAAUUAGCGCGCUAUUAGCUGCUAAUAGCGGGAACAAUCAUUUAGCGUUAAAAUCCCCAUAGCUUAGCAGUCCUCUUCCACAAACGCUAAAUAGCGCUAUAGCGUCCGCUAUAGCGCGCUAUUUAGAACAGGAUUUAAAAACACACACGCAUAGCCCAUCUUAUGCCGUGUGGUACAUGUAACUUCACAUGCAUGGCCCCUACCUACAUCAAACAUGGCAAGAGUAUACGUAGUGGAACAAAAAAAGUACUUUUUAGGCACAAAAGUGUUUACACAUAUAUAUCCUCAUCAAUUUAAAAAAAAUACUCCAUACUCAUAAAAAAAGUUGUUUUAGAUAAAGUUGAUCGGCGGCGACAAGCUAAGCCAUGCAUGUUGGUGGUUUGGUCGUUGCGGCAGCAAUAGUUAUUAAUUAGUCAGUGAUAUGAUGGUUAUCUGUGCGUGGCGGUACUGCGGUAGUGGUACGACUGGAUCGAGUUUUGCGUGCAGCCAGUUUCAGGGGUCUUUUUUUUUUCCUACAUAGAUAUUUUUCCCAUGAGUUGAAACCUCUAGAGUUAAUCUACCUCUGUAUGCAUCUCCUUGUUUCAGUGCUAGAGAUAUAGUUUAGGGCACUCACAAUGCAGACUCUAUCAUAGAGUCUAAAGUUAUUUAUUACCUCAAACAAUGUGAACUUAGAGUCUAAAUAAGACUUGAAGUCUUAUUUUUUUCUACCUCUUUCUUCAAUAAAUAUCCUGCCACAUCAGCAAAGUAUCAUAAAUAAUAUGUAAUUAAUUGUCUUGGACUCUGUGAUAGAGUCUUGCAUUGUGCAGAUUCUAUCAUAGAGUCUAAAGUUAUUUAUUACCUCGAACAAUGUGGACUUAGAGUCUAAAUAAGACCUAGGGUCUUAUUUUUUCUACCUCUUUCUUCAAUAAUAUGCUGCCACAUCAGCAAAAAGUCAUAAAUAAUAUGUAAUUAAUUGUCUUGGACUCUGUGAUAGAGUCUUGCAUUGUGAGUGCCCUUAGUGUGUUGCAAAAUGAACUAUUAUUAGAGAGAGCAGGUAGCUUAGGGCACUCACAAUGCAGACUCUAUCAUAGAGUCUAAAGUUAUUUAUUACCUCGAAUAAUGUGGACUUGGAGUCUAAAUAAGACUUGAAGUCUUAUUUUUUCUACCUCUUUCUUCAAUAAAUAUGCUGCCAUAUCAGCAAAAUAUCAUAAAUAAUAUAUAAUUAAGUGUCUUGGACUCUGUGAUAGAGUCUUGCGUUGUGAGUGCCCUUAGUACCUAAUACCUGUACGUGAGCCGGCCGGCUAGAUGGCCAGUUGCAGAUCGAUCGAAGUCAAUGCACACACAAAAAAAAAAAAGGUUUGAAUGGUCUCCGUCAGAUUCGUCGCUUUGAAAAUGCAGUGGCAGAUGAAACGUACGUGUCACUGUCUCCCCACGUGCGUGGUUGGAUUAAUGGGCUGCUAAAUGCUCACUGUGCGCGGAUCAGAUGCGUUCCCUGGUCUGGUCGUCGAUGUCGGCUAGCAGCAACCAUCGCCGCCGUGUCAUCGUCGAUCUUCCUGUUAUCACUUUAUUAUCUGUUAACUAAUACUCAAUCCAUCCCAAAUUGUAAGUCGUUUGACUUUUUUAAUAACAAGUUUGACCA